UUUGAUCUAUAUCAAAAAGAUAAAUUAUUUCAUUUCAAAAUGGAUUCUUGAAGUCAUUCUAAUCAUAACACUAAAUUCAUUUUAUUGAUACAUAAAUGUACUCACAAAUUCAAAUAUUUCAUCGAAUCAUUGAUAAAAUAGAUUCAAUAUGUUCUGUCCCUAAAGCAAAUUUUAAUUUUAUUUUUUUAUUGAAAAAUUAUUUUCAAAAAUUUGCGGAUCUCUAUCCUUCUUACCUGACCCAAUUUCCAAA
RNAcentral lists this long non-coding RNA (250 nucleotides) under Phaseolus vulgaris (common bean). RNAcentral's name for it is "long non-coding RNA (PVUL_LNC003649)". The record is from RNAcentral. Lineage: Eukaryota; Viridiplantae; Streptophyta; Magnoliopsida; Fabales; Fabaceae.